Molecule: ribosomal RNA, 531 nt
Filed under: uncultured soil bacterium
Lineage: Bacteria
Description: bacterial SSU rRNA
Rfam family: Bacterial small subunit ribosomal RNA
Source: RNAcentral
UAGAGUUUGAUCCUGGCUCAGAUUGAACGCUGGCGGCAUGCCUAACACAUGCAAGUCGGACGGCAGCACAGCAGAGCUUGCCCUGUGGGUGGCGAGUGGCGGACGGGUGAGUAAUGCAUCGGGACCUACCUGAACGUGGGGGAUAACGUAGGGAAACUUACGCUAAUACCGCAUACGUCCUACGGGAGAAAGCGGGGGACCUUCGGGCCUCGCGCGGUCAGACGGACCGAUGUUCGAUUAGCUAGUUGGUAAGGUAAUGGCUUACCAAGGCGACGAUCGAUAGCUGGUCUGAGAGGAUGAUCAACCACACUGGAACUGAGACACGGUCCAGACUCCUACGGGAGGCAGCAGUGGGGAAUAUUGGACAAUGGGCGCAAGCCUGAUCCAGCAAUGCCGCGUGUGUGAAGAAGGCCUACGGGUUGUAAAGCACUUUUAUCGGGAACGAAAUACCAUUGGUUAAUAACCGGUGGGGCUGACGGUACCCGAGGAAUAAGCACCGGCUAACUUCGUGCCAGCAGCCGCGGUAAUACA